UCCCUCCAGUAUGCACUCUCAGACCACAGCCUCUCUCAGCCUCUUCCCACCACAGAAACUUCUUCCCUGGAGAUCCAGCUCCAGCGACUGAGGGCCUAGUUCCUCAUCGAUCUGCCUGGCUCCUGCUCCCGUCAAAGGCCCCACCCAGAAGAGGCAGUGACAGAGCCAGGCAACACAUCAGACAUUGCCUCACUGUCAUGGAUGCAGUCUCUGA
Molecule: long non-coding RNA, 214 nt
Filed under: Ictidomys tridecemlineatus (thirteen-lined ground squirrel)
Lineage: Eukaryota; Metazoa; Chordata; Mammalia; Rodentia; Sciuridae
Description: lncRNA (ENSSTOG00000032773.1)
Source: RNAcentral